GAUGAACGCUGGCGGCGUGCUUAACACAUGCCAGUCGAACGGAAAGGCUCUUGCUUGCAGGGGUUCUCGAGUGGCGAACGGGUGAGUAACACGUGGGUGAUCUGCCCUGCACUUCGGGAUAAGCCUAGGAAACUGGGUCUAAUACCGGAUAGGACGCUGGUUUGGAUGCCAUUGUGGAAAGUUUUUUCGGUUUGGGAUUGGCUGGCGGCGUAUCAGCUUGUUGGUGGGGUAGUGGCCUACGAAGGCGACGACGGGUAGCCGGCCUGAGAGGGUGUACGGCCACAUGGGGACUGAGAGACGGCGCAGACGCCUAUGGGAGGCAGCAGUGGGGAAUAUGGCACAAUGGGAGCGAGCCUGAUGCAGCGACGCCGCGUGGGGGAUGACGGCCUGCGGGUUGUAAACACCUUUCGCUAGGGACGAAGCGCAAGUGACGGUACCUGGAGAAGAAGCACCGGCUAACUACGUG
RNAcentral lists this ribosomal RNA (466 nucleotides) under uncultured bacterium. RNAcentral describes it as "partial 16S ribosomal RNA". It matches the Rfam family "Bacterial small subunit ribosomal RNA", at positions 28 to 507 of the family's 1533-position model. The record is from RNAcentral.